This 32-nucleotide small RNA is filed under the name Vibrio cholerae O1 biovar El Tor str. N16961. The record is from RNAcentral. Lineage: Bacteria; Pseudomonadati; Pseudomonadota; Gammaproteobacteria; Vibrionales; Vibrionaceae.
GCGACACUAGCUCAGUUGAUGAGCAAACCUAG